UAGGGAAUAUUGGACAAUGGGUGCAAGCCUGAUCCAGCCAUGCCGCGUGCAGGAAGACGGCCUUCUGGGUUGUAAACUGCUUUUGCCAGGGGAUAAAAAGUCCUUGCGAGGAAAAUUGAAGGUACCUGGUGAAUAAGCCACGGCUAACUACGUGCCAGCAGCCGCGGUAAUACGUAGGUGGCAAGCGUUGUCCGGAUUUAUUGGGUUUAAAGGGUGCGUAGGCGGCCUUAUAAGUCAGUGCUGAAAUAUCCCGGCUUAACCGGGAGGGUGGCAUUGAUACUGUAGGGCUCGAGUAAAGUUGAGGUUGGCGGAAUUGACGGUGUAGCGGUGAAAUGCUUAGAUAUCGUCAAGAACACCGAUUGCGUAGGCAGCUAACUAAGCUUUAACUGACGCUGAGGCACGAAAGUGUGGGGAUCAAA
Molecule: ribosomal RNA, 419 nt
Filed under: uncultured bacterium
Lineage: Bacteria
Description: bacterial SSU rRNA
Rfam family: Bacterial small subunit ribosomal RNA
Source: RNAcentral